Molecule: long non-coding RNA, 516 nt
Organism: Oreochromis aureus
Lineage: Eukaryota; Metazoa; Chordata; Actinopteri; Cichliformes; Cichlidae
Exons: 4
Source: RefSeq, a predicted model, not a curated record
UAGUUGCCCAGAGGUUAAGUGUGCAACACCCCGAACCUUUUGGUCACAAGACGAUUGCACAGGUCAUCUAGUGGGAGGCAAUCUGACUCAUUUGGACCUGAACUAACUGCCUGCAAUCACUCUCAAACAGACUGGGGAAGAGAUCCCAGGACACGGGCUGAAGGGAAGAUGGUCUUUGGAAUAUCAUCUUCAGAUGAGAAACUGCUGGGAUAACGUAUCAGAAUCAUAAUUACAUUCCACUACUGUCGAGCAGAUAAAACAGCAUAAAGGCGCAGCUUACCAGUGUGCUGAAACAGGACAGCCACCACCCCAAUUUCAACCUCCACAAUAACAUGAAGGCAUGGGUCAGGCUGGGUCAGCUGGGAUAGGCUCAAGCACCCCUGUGACCCUGAAGAAAAAGGAUGCAUGGAUGGAUUUUCAACCUGCACAAUGUAUUUCAGGGUACAAAUUUUAUUAUCAUCUGCAGAGUAAAGAAACAUGUUUCCCUGUACAAUGAAAUUCUGCUACCCACAAUAU